This 253-nucleotide ribosomal RNA is filed under the name uncultured bacterium. RNAcentral describes it as "partial 16S ribosomal RNA". It matches the Rfam family "Bacterial small subunit ribosomal RNA", at positions 524 to 776 of the family's 1533-position model. The record is from RNAcentral.
UACAGAGGUCUCAAGCGUUGUUCGGAUUCAUUGGGCGUAAAGGGUGCGUAGGUGGCGCGGUAAGUCGGGUGUGAAAUCUCGGAGCUUAACUCCGAAAUUGCAUUCGAUACUGCCGUGCUUGAGGACUGGAGAGGAGACUGGAAUUCAUGGUGUAGCGGUGGAAUGCGCAGAUAUCAGGAGGAACACCAAUAGCGAAGGCAGCUCGCUGGGACGGUACUGACACUAAGGCGCGAAAGCGUGGGGAGCGAACAGG